GAGAGAUAUGGCCACUGAAAUUUAGAGCUAAAGAGUCUUAAAGAAGGCCCCUUUAAAUAGGCAUAAGGUUUGAAUCCUAUUUAAAAUCAAACUACCACUUAAUACAAGUCUUACUUGCAUUAGGAAUCCUUAUUCCUUUAGUUAUUUGACCCCCUUUAGGAGAUUCUUUAGGUGCCAACUUUUGGAGCCCUUGCAUCCACAAAUACACAUGCCACAUGGUUGCCAUGGGACACCCCAAUC
Molecule: long non-coding RNA, 240 nt
Filed under: Elaeis guineensis (African oil palm)
Lineage: Eukaryota; Viridiplantae; Streptophyta; Magnoliopsida; Arecales; Arecaceae
Description: long non-coding RNA (EGUI_LNC049615)
Source: RNAcentral